GCGACAGGCUUAACACAUGCAAGUCGAGGGGCAGCACAGGUAGCAAUACCGGGUGGCGACCGGCGCACGGGUGAGUAACGCGUAUGCAACUUGCCUAUCAGAGGGGGAUAACCCGGCGAAAGUCGGACUAAUACCGCAUGAAGCAGGGGCCCCGCAUGGGGAUAUUUACUAAAGAUUCAUCGCUGAUAGAUAGGCAUGCGUUCCAUUAGGCAGUUGGCGGGGUAACGGCCCACCAAACCGACGAUGGAUAGGGGUUCUGAGAGGAAGGUCCCCCACAUUGGUACUGAGACACGGACCAAACUCCUACGGGAGGCAGCAGUGAGGAAUAUUGGUCAAUGGCCGGGAGGCUGAACCAGCCAAGUCGCGUGAGGGAUGAAGGUUCUAUGGAUCGUAAACCUCUUUUAUAAGGGAAUAAAGUGCGGGACGUGUCCCGUUUUGUAUGUACCUUAUGAAUAAGGAUCGACUAACUCCGUGCCAGCAGCCGCGGUAAUACGGAGGAUCCGAGCGUUAUCCGGAUUUAUUGGGUUUAAAGGGUGCGUAGGCGGCCUUUUAAGUCAGCGGUGAAAGUCUGUGGCUCAACCAUAGAAUUGCCGUUGAAACUGGGGGGCUUGAGUAUGUUUGAGGCAGGCGGAAUGCGUGGUGUAGCGGUGAAAUGCAUAGAUAUCACGCAGAACCCCGAUUGCGAAGGCAGCCUGCCAAGCCAUGACUGACGCUGAUGCACGAAAGCGUGGGGAUCAAACAGGAUUAGAUACCCUGGUAGUCCACGCAGUAAACGAUGAUCACUAGCUGUUUGCGAUACACUGUAAGCGGCACAGCGAAAGCGUUAAGUGAUCCACCUGGGGAGUACGCCGGCAACGGUGAAACUCAAAGGAAUUGACGGGGGCCCGCACAAGCGGAGGAACAUGUGGUUUAAUUCGAUGAUACGCGAGGAACCUUACCCGGGUUUGAACGCAUUCGGACCGAGGUGGAAACACCUUUUCUAGCAAUAGCCGUUUGCGAGGUGCUGCAUGGUUGUCGUCAGCUCGUGCCGUGAGGUGUCGGCUUAAGUGCCAUAACGAGCGCAACCCUUGCCACUAGUUACUAACAGGUAAAGCUGAGGACUCUGGUGGGACUGCCAGCGUAAGCUGCGAGGAAGGCGGGGAUGACGUCAAAUCAGCACGGCCCUUACAUCCGGGGCGACACACGUGUUACAAUGGCGCGGACAAAGGGAGGCCACCUGGUGACAGGGAGCGAAUCCCCAAACCACGUCUCAGUUCGGAUCGGAGUCUGCAACCCGACUCCGUGAAGCUGGAUUCGCUAGUAAUCGCGCAUCAGCCAUGGCGCGGUGAAUACGUUCCCGGGCCUUGUACACACCGCCCGUCAAGCCAUGGGAGCCGGGGGUACCUGAAGUCCGUAACCGAAAGGAUCGGCCUAGGGUAAAACUGGUGACUGGGGCUAAGU
This 1440-nucleotide ribosomal RNA is filed under the name uncultured organism. RNAcentral's name for it is "16S ribosomal RNA". It matches the Rfam family "Bacterial small subunit ribosomal RNA". The record is from RNAcentral.